UGCCCUCAACAUGACCUUAAAUUGAUUUGGAAUACUAACACGACAAAUGGUUUGGACCUGGAAACAGUUGGCGCAUGCUUCGAAAAGCUAGGUUGUUGUUGCAAUCUGUCUUUCUGAAUGAACCGUUAUCCGGCUACAAAGCGGAGCUGCAAGCAAACAGGAAGACUUCUGUGAAAACGGUGACACUGACGUUGGUACCAGUGAGAAUACAGGAAGACAGCCGAGGGAUGAGGGAGUGAAUCAGGACUCCUCAGCUCUUCCCAUUAGUGGCCGGGGGGGAGCGGGAAGACUGCUCAUCUCCUAUGCAGCAUGGAGUCACUAACCUUUUCCCUCUGCCCCCUCGGGAUCAGGACCCUCAUUUGUAUACAGAGAGUGUCAAUCGAAGUGUUAAAGGGCGGCUAAACACUAUUUGCGUCGACGGGAGUUUUGGAGAAUAAAAAAAAGCGGAGGAGGAUUUUAAACCAUAGCUAGUGAUUAAAUUGACGUCAAUCAAGUGAAACAUUACUGUAAAUAGGAUUCAAGCUGUGGCUGCAGUCGCAAUGAAUGUAUCAACAAUUUGAGUUGUCUCUGGAAAAGGUGUUUUGUAGUUUAUGGUGGGUGAUCUGUUUUUUGAGGAUGGCUUCUAAUUCAAAUGUUUUUCACUUUUUUGUCUUUCAUAUGCCCCACAAAGGUGACAGAUUGUCACAUUGUCACAUAUUAAUUCUGCAUUUUAUGAUGUGCUAUCUUCUGUGUUUAUUUAUUGUGAAAUGACACAGUUGUUGUGAAAAGAAUGUUGUCAUUGCUUAUUUUAGAUAUCCCUCUCUCUCUCUCCACCCCUCUCUCUGUCUCUCUCUCCAUACCCUUCCCUCUGUCUGUCUAUCUUGUUCUAUUAUAGCAUAGCUACCUUAAGGCACUGUCCUGCACUAUCCUCUGUGUCACACUUUUAGACGCUUAUUGUCCUGUGCUCUCAUGUGUUAACCAUCAGAUCUUUCCUUUUUGGUAAAUCGUGUUCAAACAUAGCCUGUGUAAAGAUGCCUAUAUCUUCAAAAUACACCUAUACUGCCCUCCAGCAUUUAGUGCUUUGCUCUAUUGUGACGACCU
Molecule: long non-coding RNA, 1080 nt
Organism: Sardina pilchardus (European sardine)
Lineage: Eukaryota; Metazoa; Chordata; Actinopteri; Clupeiformes; Clupeidae
Exons: 4
Source: RefSeq, a predicted model, not a curated record